AGAGUUUGAUCCUGGCUCAGAACGAACGCUGGCGGCAUGCCUAACACAUGCAAGUCGAACGAGACCUUCGGGUCUAGUGGCGCACGGGUGCGUAACGCGUGGGAAUCUGCCCUUGGGUUCGGAAUAACAGUUAGAAAUGACUGCUAAUACCGGAUGAUGACUUCGGUCCAAAGAUUUAUCGCCCAGGGAUGAGCCCGCGUCGGAUUAGCUAGUUGGUGAGGUAACGGCCCACCAAGGCCAAGAUCGGUAGCCGGCCUGAGAGGGCACACGGCCACACUGGCACUGAAAUACGGGCCAGACUCCUACGGGAGGCAGCAGUGGGGAAUCUUGCACAAUGGGGGAAACCCUGAUGCAGCGACGCCGCGUGAGCGAUGAAGCCCUUCGGGGUGUAAAGCUCUUUCGGCAGGAACGAUUAUGACGGUACCUGCAGAAGAAGCUGCGGCUAACUACGUGCCAGCAGCCGCGGUAAUACGUAGGCAGCGAGCGUUGUUCGGAGUUACUGGGCGUAAAGAGUAUGUAGGCGGUUUCGUAAGUUUGGUGUGAAAUCUCCCGGCUUAACUGGGAGGGUGCGCCGAAAACUGCGAGGCUAGAGUGCGGGAGAGGAGAGCGGAAUUCCUGGUGUAGCGGUGAAAUGCGUAGAUAUCAGGAGGAACACCGGCGGUGUAGACGGCUCUCUGGACCGUUACUGACGCUGAGAUACGAAAGCGUGGGUAGCAAACAGGAUUAGAUACCCUGGUAGUCCACGCCCUAAACGAUGCACACUUGGUGUGAGCAGUUCAUUCUGUUCGUGCCGGAGCUAA
RNAcentral lists this ribosomal RNA (800 nucleotides) under uncultured bacterium. Its description in RNAcentral is "bacterial SSU rRNA". It matches the Rfam family "Bacterial small subunit ribosomal RNA", at positions 8 to 855 of the family's 1533-position model. The record is from RNAcentral.